UACGGAGGGGGCGAGCGUUAUUCGGAAUUAUUGGGCGUAAAGGGCGCGUAGGCGGCCCGGUAAGUCAAAGGUGAAAUCCCUCGGCUCAACUGAGGAACUGCCUUUGAAACUGCCGGGCUCGAGGCCGGGAGGGGGUAGCGGAAUUCCCAGUGUAGCGGUGAAAUGCGUAGAUAUUGGGAGGAACACCGGUGGCGAAGGCGGCUACCUGGACCGGAUCUGACGCUGAUGCGCGAAAGCGUGGGUAGCAAACAGG
Molecule: ribosomal RNA, 253 nt
Filed under: uncultured bacterium
Lineage: Bacteria
Description: partial 16S ribosomal RNA
Rfam family: Bacterial small subunit ribosomal RNA
Source: RNAcentral